GGGACUGUCAGGUUUCUACAUGUUUAUACUGUUUCGGAAGAAUAGAAAACUUAAUUGCUAAAGGCUCUAAAGCUGAUAGUGAAUUCUCAAAUAAUAAAUGCAAAAAAUCAAAUUGUUCCUUUAUCUCGGAGUUUAGUAGCAGUCUAAAAAAAGUUGCUUGUAAACUUCAUAGUAUCAGUUAUCUUAAGGACACUUGAAUACUGAUUAGUUUUUUAUAUGUUGCUCUUAAGUCAAUUGAACUUUUGAUAUGUCAUUUGCUUAAGUAAAGUCAAAUAUGAAAGUAUCUUAUGUAUAUUUUUCUUUAUCUAAUGAAAUCUAUUAGAUAGCUUCUGAAAUAUUGUUAUUGACAUGGACGUGGGUUCAAAUCCCACCAGUUCCA
RNAcentral lists this non-coding RNA (379 nucleotides) under Helminthocladia australis. The record is from RNAcentral. Lineage: Eukaryota; Rhodophyta; Florideophyceae; Nemaliales; Liagoraceae.